UACGGAGGGGGCGAGCGUUGUCCGGAUUUACUGGGCGUAAAGCGUGCGUAGGUGGUUCGUUAAGUCUGAUGUGAAAGCCCUGGGCUCAACCUGGGAAUGGCAUUGGAAACUGGCGACCUAGAGUGCGGUAGAGGGCAGUGGAAUUCCCGGUGUAGCAGUGAAAUGCGUAGAGAUCGGGAGGAACAUCUGUGGCGAAGGCGACUGCCUGGACCAGCACUGACACUGAGGCACGAAAGCGUGGGGAGCAAACAGG
This 253-nucleotide ribosomal RNA is filed under the name uncultured bacterium. RNAcentral's name for it is "partial 16S ribosomal RNA". It matches the Rfam family "Bacterial small subunit ribosomal RNA", at positions 524 to 776 of the family's 1533-position model. The record is from RNAcentral.